This 576-nucleotide ribosomal RNA is filed under the name uncultured eukaryote. RNAcentral's name for it is "SSU rRNA". It matches the Rfam family "Eukaryotic small subunit ribosomal RNA", at positions 174 to 758 of the family's 1831-position model. The record is from RNAcentral.
UAAAAACCCCGACUUCGGAAGGGGUGUAUUUAUUAGAUACAAAACCAAUGCCCUUCGGGGCUCUUUGGUGAUUCAUGAUAACUAUACGAAUCGCACGGCCUUGCGCCGGCGAUGGUUCAUUCAAAUUUCUUCCCUAUCAACUUUCGAUGUUUGGGUAUUGGCCAAACAUGGUUGCAACGGGUAACGGAGGGUUAGGGCUCGACCCCGGAGAAGGAGCCUGAGAAACGGCUACUACAUCCAAGGAAGGCAGCAGGCGCGCAAAUUACCCAAUCCCGACUCGGGGAGGUAGUGACAAUAAAUACUGAUACAGGGCCCUUUCGGGCCUUGUAAUUGGAAUGAGUACAAUUUAAAUCCCUUAACGAGGAACAAUUGGAGGGCAAGUCUGGUGCCAGCAGCCGCGGUAAUUCCAGCUCCAAUAGCGUAUAUUAAAGUUGUUGUGGUUAAAAAGCUCGUAGUUGAACCUUGGGCCUGGCUGGCCGGUCCGCCUCACCGCGUGCACUGGUCCGGCCGGGCCUUUCCCUCUGUGGAACCCCAUACCCUUCACUGGGCGUGGCGGGGAAACGGGACAUUUACUUU